This 480-nucleotide long non-coding RNA is filed under the name Homo sapiens (human). RNAcentral's name for it is "HSALNT0339484". The record is from RNAcentral. Lineage: Eukaryota; Metazoa; Chordata; Mammalia; Primates; Hominidae.
GGUCCCCUUCCACAACGUGGAAGCUUUGUUCUUUCGCUCUUUGCAAUAAAUCUUGCUACUGCUCACUCUUUGGGUCCUCGCUGCUUUUAUGAGCUGUAACACUCACCGCAAAGAUCUGCAGCUUCACUCCUGAGCCCAGGGAGACCACGAGCCCACCGGGAGGAAUGAACAACUCCAGACGCGCUGCCUUAAGAGCUGUAACACUCACCACGAAGGUCUGCAGCUUCACUCCUGAGCCAGCGAGACCACGAACCCACCAGAAGGAAGAAACUCUGAACACAUCUGAACAUCAGAAGGGACAGACUCCAGACGCGCCACCUUAAGAGCUGUGACACUCACCGCGAGGGUCUGCGGCUUCAUUCUUGAAGUCAGUGAGAUCAAGAACCCACCAGUUCCGGACAUAGUAGGGAAACAGACAAUGCAGCCUUCAGUAGGGGGCCAAAGGGUGGAGAACCCCUAGCAGAUAACCAAUCUAAAACA